This is a long non-coding RNA of Oncorhynchus nerka (sockeye salmon), 1074 nucleotides long. RefSeq lists it as uncharacterized. The transcript has 3 exons. Lineage: Eukaryota; Metazoa; Chordata; Actinopteri; Salmoniformes; Salmonidae. The record is from RefSeq and is a predicted model, not a curated record.
CAGAUGCUAUACAGUGGGAAAACCAGCCUGGCAACAUAGUGCGUAUUAAUAAAAGGACACCACAUCCUGCCAAAUUCCAGCUGCGCUAAUUGUAUUGUGUUCACAGAGCUCACAAGCUAUCAGAAAGUUGUAUGGCAACCACCUCCGGCGCCAAAUAGAACUGGCAGACAUAGACAUUCAGUACAAGAAGAAAAAAGAUGGAAAAUCUUGCACUGGAGUCCGAAAUAAAAAAGAGGACAAUUAGGAAACUGGACCUUGAAAUAAAAAAACUUGAGAGGGAGCUCCAAGAAGAUGACACAGCUCAAAAUAAAAAUUAGGUAUAUUCUCGUAAAGUCAAGUGAGCCAUGACAUAUGAGCUCUUAUUGUGAGCACACAGGACGGUGGCAUCUUUCUAAGGUUUUUUUAUUUUCCCAGCAAUCAGUACAACCAAGUCAUCGUUAUAAGGCAUCGCCCUCUUUUGCCCACCCCCCCAGCACCAGGUGUGGCCACUAGCCUAUAUGAAGGCCCAAAAUUGUGUGUUCCUUUCUGCUCUGACAAUGGCAUGCCCAUUCGUGCGAGAUGUGGUGGAUGAAGAAGCACUUGUGCUGAGGAGAGCCUUCAGGCGAGAAAGGGUCUUCAGGGACCGGUUGGACCCACUGGCCUUCCCUGAUGACCAUCUACAGGUUUUCUGCAGAUGGCAUCAGGUAUCUAUGCAGACUACUGGGUCCCAGGAUUAAGCACCGCACUGCACGGAGCCAUGCACUGAGUGUGGAGCAAAUGGUUUGUGUGGCCUUGCGCUUUUUUGCUAGUGGAGCCUUCCUGUACUCAGUGGGGGGAUGCAGAACAGCUGAACAAGGCCACAAUUUGCCGCACAAUAAGGAGUGUGUGUCUGGCUAUCAAAGCAUUAGCAGAUGUCUUCAUCUCCUUCCCUGGCCACAGAAGACUCUGUGACAUCAAAGAGGAGUUCUAUAGGAUUGCAGAUGGUCUGCAAUGCUGACUGUGUGAUCAGCAAUGUUGUGGCAAAAUGGCCUGGCUCAGUCCAUGACUCCAGAAUCUUUCGGGCCUCUGAAAUCUAUCAGUGCCUAUCACAAGGUA